This 497-nucleotide ribosomal RNA is filed under the name uncultured bacterium. Its description in RNAcentral is "partial 16S ribosomal RNA". It matches the Rfam family "Bacterial small subunit ribosomal RNA", at positions 28 to 507 of the family's 1533-position model. The record is from RNAcentral.
GAUGAACGCUGGCGGCGUGCCUAAUACAUGCAAGUCGAGCGAACGGACGAGAAGCUUGCUUUUCUGAUGUUAGCGGCGGACGGGUGAGUAACACGUGGAUAACCUACCUAUAAGACUGGGAUAACUUCGGGACACCGGCGCUAAUACCGGAUAAUAUUUUGAACCGCAUGGUUCAAAAGUGAAAGACGGUCUUGCUGUCACUUAUAGAUGGAUCCGCGCUGCAUUAGCUAGUUGGUAAGUUAACGGCUUACCAAGGCAACGAUGCAUAGCCGACCUGAGAGGGUGAUAGGCCACACUGGAACUGAGACACGGUCCAGACGCCUACGGGAGGCAGCAGUAGGGAAUCUGACGCAAUGGGCGAAAGCCUGACGGAGCAACGCCGAGUGAGUGAUGAAGGUCUUCGGAUCGUAAAACUCUGUUAUUAGGGAAGAACAUAUGUGUAAGGAAAUGUGCACAGCUUGACGGUACCGAAUCAGAAAGCCCCGGCUAACUACGUG